GACCUUCAGUUUUCCUUAACACAACAGCCCCAAACGAAGCCUAAUGGCUCAAUCCUACCGCGCACAGCUCAUUCAAAAUGAGCUGUCUCCGGCCAUUUUUGGCAUGAGAUCAUGCAUUUUCAGCCUUAACAGGCUUUGUUUCAACAUUUUGGGUAAAGAAAUUUAUUGCUCUUUGUCAUCUUCUCCAAUUCAAGCGGAGUCCCAAUGGAUUUCGUCUCCCAAAUUCUCUGUUGGGACCAGCCCAACAUGUCAUUCUUCAUCGAGUCAGCCCCCAUCACAUUUCUAGCAACCAGCCGCGGAUUGAAGGCCCAACGGGUGAAAAUGGCAACUAGUGAGCUUCGGUAGACAGGGAGGCGACCCAGACUCAUAGGAGCUGAUCAGCAGAGUCACGAGAGCACUCUAUUAUUCGGAGUUGCUAAUUGAGUUAUGGUUAUGUGUACAUAUUUGGGCACGACGGGGUCCUGUCCUGUCCUUAUGUUUAGUACUCUAGUAGAGGCUCGUAGAUACGCAUGUGUGGGUAAUAUGGUCUCAUGAUUUCUCCUCAUUGUAUAUAUGUUAUUUUGAUAGCCGGAAGGCUUAUGUAUACAAAUGUAGAUAUGCUUGAAAUUAAAAAUGGUUUUCCUUAUGUCUA
Lycium barbarum (goji berry) is the source of this 631-nucleotide long non-coding RNA. RefSeq lists it as uncharacterized. The transcript is spliced from 3 exons. NCBI's taxonomy places the organism in Eukaryota, Viridiplantae, Streptophyta, Magnoliopsida, Solanales, Solanaceae. The record is from RefSeq and is a predicted model, not a curated record.